This 21-nucleotide non-coding RNA is filed under the name Caenorhabditis elegans. The record is from RNAcentral. Lineage: Eukaryota; Metazoa; Nematoda; Chromadorea; Rhabditida; Rhabditidae.
UUUUUCGAUGUUAUUUGUGAA